This 716-nucleotide ribosomal RNA is filed under the name Cosmospora sp. KAS 3751. Its description in RNAcentral is "eukaryotic LSU rRNA". It matches the Rfam family "Eukaryotic large subunit ribosomal RNA", at positions 98 to 846 of the family's 3401-position model. Lineage: Eukaryota; Fungi; Ascomycota; Sordariomycetes; Hypocreales; Nectriaceae. The record is from RNAcentral.
GCGGCAACAGCUCAAAUUUGAAAUCUGGCUCUCGGGUCCGAGUUGUAAUUUGUAGAGGAUGCUUUUGGUGCGGUGCCUUCCGAGUUCCCUGGAACGGGACGCCAUAGAGGGUGAGAGCCCCGUCUGGUUGGACACCAAGCCUCUGUAAAGCUCCUUCGACGAGUCGAGUAGUUUGGGAAUGCUGCUCUAAAUGGGAGGUAUAUGUCUUCUAAAGCUAAAUACCGGCCAGAGACCGAUAGCGCACAAGUAGAGUGAUCGAAAGAUGAAAAGCACUUUGAAAAGAGGGUUAAAUAGUACGUGAAAUUGUUGAAAGGGAAGCGCUUAUGACCAGACUUGAGCCCGGUUAAUCAUCCAGCCUUCUGGCUGGUGCACUUGGCCGGCUCAGGCCAGCAUCAGUUCGGUGCGGGGGAUAAAGGCUUCGGGAAUGUGGCUCCUCCGGGAGUGUUAUAGCCCGUUGCGCAAUACCCUGCGCUGGACUGAGGUUCGCGCAUCUGCAAGGAUGCUGGCGUAAUGGUCAUCAGCGACCCGUCUUGAAACACGGACCAAGGAGUCGUCUUCGUAUGCGAGUGUUCGGGUGUCAAACCCCUACGCGUAAUGAAAGUGAACGCAGGUGAGAGCUUCGGCGCAUCAUCGACCGAUCCUGAUGUUCUCGGAUGGAUUUGAGUAAGAGCAUACGGGGCCGGACCCGAAAGAAGGUGAACUAUGCCUGUAUAGGG